UGAAUGUUGUACACCUCAGCAUGUCGUCCCUUUUCGACCAAAUUAUCUACAGAAACAUUGUACAUUCAGUUUUCAGGCAAAAAUGUUCAGAGAUAAUUAAGAUACAGAAAACUAAUUAUGGCUGGUAAUGUUUCAUUAACCUAGGAAACUAAUUCUUGCUUUGACAGUAAACGGACAACAAUUGAUCAUAACAAUAUUGUCAUUCUUGCUUUGACAGUAAACAGACAACAAUUGACUAAUUCUUGCUUUGACAGUAAACAUACAACAAUUGACAGUACACAGACUGAAUUUAUAUGUACUUCUUCUUCUUCUUCUUCUUCUUCUUCUUCUUCUACUUCUACUUCUACUUCUACUUCAUCUUACAUAUUCAUAUCUUCAGGAGAAAAUGGAUCUCCCAGACCUCAACUUCACUCCACCUGCAGAAGAUGUGGAUGAAAUGGAUGAAAAUGCAGAAAAUGAAAUGGAAGGACAUGUAGGAGAUGAUAUGGAAGGAGAUGCCGGAGAGGGAAUGGAAGGAGAUGAAAUUGUUCAAAAUCCAGGUACAGUUACACUUGAUCAUUCCAUCAUUUCAUCACUUGAUCAUUCCAUCACUUCAUCACUUGAUCAUUUCAUUUAAUCAUUUUUUGUUGUAUGUCUUGGUGCAGGUGCUGGGCAAGUUGGUAGAAAAAAUAAAACCCUCAAUGACCAGCAAAAAUUUGCUGCUUAUGUAGCAUUGCAUACACUGUGUAUGAGUAGAGGAGGCACUUUUAAGAAAACUGAUACGCAAGAUAUUGCAAAUUUUUUUGGAGUGGGUGUUUGGAAUAUACAAAGAAUUUGGAGGAAAGCAAUGUUGCAAAUUCAACAAGGUCAAGAGGUAGAUGUUGCCGAUCAGAGAAAAGGAAAUUCUGGAAGAAAGCCUAAGGACAUUAACCUAGAAAAAAUCCUAACAAUCCCAUUAAACAGGAGGUCUACUAUUAGAUCACUAGCCUGGCAACUGGGAUGUAGCCCUACCACACUUCAUAGAAAGUUCAUGCUAAAUUUGAUUAGGAGGCAUAGAGAAAGUCUUGCCAGCGAUACAAGCAGUUUGGCCGGAAAGUGAUGCUGGACAGACCAUCUACAUUCAGCAGGAUAAUGCUAAGCCCCAUAUCUUGCCAGAUGACCAGGAAUUUCUAGCAGUUGUCGCAAAAACUGGACUUGACAUUAGAUUAGUACAACAGCCUGCCAACAGUCCUGAUUUGAAUGUGCUUGACCUUGAGUUUUUCAACUCGCUGCAAUUGCUGACAGAUUGUCUGAGUCCUAAAACACUACAAGACCUUAUUGCAGGUGUUUUGGAGGAAUUUGAAGGCUAUGAUGUUUACAAGCUCAACAGAAUUUUCCUAACUCUACAAAUGUGCAUGAUUGAGAUCAUGAACCAUGCGGGGGGAAAUGGGUAUAAAAUACCACAUGUUAACAAGGAAAGGCUUGAGGGUCUGGGGCAGCUACCUCCAAGACUAACAUGCCCGAAAGAGGUUUACACGAAUGCCCUAUACAACUUAGAGGUAAUGGGGAGGGUUCAGUGAUGAGGCUUGUUCGGAUGCUUGAGAUGAGGCUUGUUCGGAUGCUUGAGAUGAGGCUUGUUCCGAUGCUUGAGAUGAGGCUUGUUCCGAUGCUUGACAUGAGGCUUGUUCAGAUGCUUGAGAUGAGGCUUGUUCCGAUGCUUGACAUGAGGCUUGUUCGGAUGCUUGAGAUGAGGCUUGUUCCGAUGCUUGACAUGAGGCUUGUUCAGAUGCUUGAGAUGAGCUUGUUCAGAUGCUUGACAUGAGGCUUGUUCAGAUGUGGAGUAUGUGUAGUUCCUUGAGAUGAGACUUGUGCGGAGUGCAUCCCAUGUGAAAUUACUCCAUAUGUGUAAUACUCCAUUUUGUGAGGCUUGUAUGUGUAACUCCAUUUUGUGAUCAUUUUUACUCCAUAUAUUUUUUCUCCAUUUUGUGAGACUUGUAUGUGUAAUUCAUUUGCUUGUGUGGAGUACUCCAUUUAAAUGAAAGAGAAGAGAAGAGAGUAGUAGGAGACAAGAUUAGUGAAUUUAGAGAUGAGAAGAUAAUUUAGAGAAGAAGAGAACAAGCAAAGUAGUAGGAGAGGAAAUGAGUGGGAGAGGAGAGGAGUAUGGAGGGCACAAGGGAAGUACACUAAACUACAGAUGCAAGAAGAGAAAGAGAAGAGAGAAGAAGAGAGAAGAGAAGUCCUGCUGUAACUGAAAAAGUUUCAGUUAAGUAACUGAAAAAAUUCAGUUAAUGAACUAAAACUUACACCAAACUAUUGCUGUCCUACACUAAACUACUGAUGUCCUACACUACUGCAAGUGCUAUACUACUGCAAGUCUGCAACUGUUAAAUUAACAAAAAAAGUUUCAUUUAGUUUUACUUAAAGGAAAAGAUUCAUUUUAAGCUAAUGUACCAAGUCAACAGAAGAUUAAUGACAAGAUUAACAGUAGCAGAAGCUUCAUGUGUUAAAAUCUGAAGCUUCAUGGGCAAAAUUACAGAAGCUUCAUGUGCAAAAUUACAGAAUUUGCAAAACUGAAAAUGUGAUUCAGAAAAUAAAACGACCCCCAAAAUAAAAUUACUGGAGAGCAUGGCAUUAUACCUGAACUGUAUAGAUAGCCACUUUGGAAAAUAAAACGACCCCCAAAACUGAGAAACAGGAUCCCACAUGGAGUACAGUACAAGGUUAGUGAUGAACUCAC
This 2695-nucleotide long non-coding RNA is filed under the name Triticum aestivum (bread wheat). RNAcentral describes it as "long non-coding RNA (TAES_LNC025739)". Lineage: Eukaryota; Viridiplantae; Streptophyta; Magnoliopsida; Poales; Poaceae. The record is from RNAcentral.